UUUCGCAAUGCCCGAAAGGGUGACGAAGCGACGCCGCGUGGGUGAGGAAGGCCCUCGGGUUGUAAAGCCCUGUCAGGAGUUAAGAAAUGUAGAUUCGCUAAUAUCGGGUCUAUUUGACGAAGGCUCCAAAGGAAGCCACGGCUAACUCUGUGCCAGCAGCCGCGGUAAUACAGAGGUGGCAAGCGUUGUUCGGAAUUAUUGGGCGUAAAGAGCACGUAGGUGGAUUUGUAAGUCAGAUGUGAAAGCCUUCUGUUCAACGGGAGAAUUGCAUCUGAAACUACAGACCUUGAGUAUAGGAGGGGAGAAUGGAACUUCUGGUGGAGCGGUGAAAUGCGUAGAUAUCAGAAGGAACGUCGGCGGCGAAAGCGACUCUCUGGCCUAUUACUGACACUGAGGUGCGAAAGUUAGGGGAGCAAACGGGAUUAGAUACCCCGGUAGUCCUAACCGUAAACGAUGGGCACUAAGUAGAGGGGUUUUA
Molecule: ribosomal RNA, 478 nt
Filed under: uncultured bacterium
Lineage: Bacteria
Description: bacterial SSU rRNA
Rfam family: Bacterial small subunit ribosomal RNA
Source: RNAcentral